RNAcentral lists this ribosomal RNA (301 nucleotides) under uncultured bacterium. RNAcentral's name for it is "partial 16S ribosomal RNA". It matches the Rfam family "Bacterial small subunit ribosomal RNA", at positions 509 to 807 of the family's 1533-position model. The record is from RNAcentral.
CAGUCGCCGCGGUAAUACAGAGGGUGCGAGCGUUAAUCGGAUUUACUGGGCGUAAAGCGUGCGUAGGCGGCUUCUUAAGUCGGAUGUGAAAUCCCUGAGCUUAACUUAGGAAUUGCAUUCGAUACUGGGAAGCUAGAGUAUGGGAGAGGAUGGUAGAAUUCCAGGUGUAGCGGUGAAAUGCGUAGAGAUCUGGAGGAAUACCGAUGGCGAAGGCAGCCAUCUGGCCUAAUACUGACGCUGAGGUACGAAAGCAUGGGGAGCAAACAGGAUUAGAUACACCCGUAGUCCCUGUCUCUUAUAC